This is a long non-coding RNA of Papaver somniferum (opium poppy), 1348 nucleotides long. RefSeq lists it as uncharacterized. NCBI's taxonomy places the organism in Eukaryota, Viridiplantae, Streptophyta, Magnoliopsida, Ranunculales, Papaveraceae. The transcript is spliced from 4 exons. The record is from RefSeq and is a predicted model, not a curated record.
AUCUUACAAAAACCAUUUGUUUUUUGUCCGAUCCGACGGCUUUAAAAGGUGUUUUGUAAGAGAUGGACGGCUUUCAUUGAUCUCAAAAUGUAGAAAAACGAAGGAGACAAAUCGUGGCUUAAAAUGCACCUUUCUUCUACGCGCUCAUCCAACGUCUCAAAUUCGACUUCUUCUCUCUUAAUUAGUUAAUUUCCAUCUGUAACGCCUGCCAUUACUAGGGUUUUAAUUUUGCUCCAGCUUUUCAUCCAUAACGGGUGAAAUCAAUAAGCACCAUUAUUAUUCAUGUUGAUUCAAACCUGAAUGCGUUACCAAAAUAGAAGAUACCCAUUAACAAUACCUCUAUUUCUGCUUACCAAUCAUGUUCGACUAUAUAAACCCCCCAAAAGUUAUCUUGCACAGUUUUUCAGUGGUUACCCAUCUCAUUUUUGUCUAUCAAGAUUUAUGCAUAUGGAUUAAUCGGUCACUAGAGAUGCGUGCUUCUCUCAUCAGCGGUUUUGAUUGUUCAUCAAUACAAAGAUUGGUGUCCUGAUUUGGGUGUUUCUGCACUUAUCAAUAACAACACCAAACCAGAAUCAUCAUCAAUAGAAAAUGAAAAUGAAAAUGAAAUUUCUUGGCUAGGAAACUCAUAUAAGGAACAAAGAUUUUACACUUAGUGUAGCUACUGUCAACGUCAUGAUGGGGAAUUUCUUGGAUGGUAGCAGAGGCUCUUAGUGCCUACAAAAGUUAAGGUAUAUAUGCACCAUUCCGGAAAUCUGUCUUCUAUUGAAGUCUUCUCUGUUGUGAAUUUUAAGAGCUUGAUGGUUUUGUUUACCCUCAUCAUGUUUUUACAUUCGGAUCUACAUUAUGUGUACUGAUCGUUAAUGUUUGUUAUAGGAUUUUUAUGUAUCAAUCUGGACCAGUUCUUGAUCAUUGUUUAGAUAAAGGUUUUGUUUUUCUCUUUAAGUUGUUUUUUUAAAAGAUGAAGAAGACCGAAUGAAAGACCAAAAAGUAGCAGACAUGAAGGAAGAACACUUGGGGCAAUUACAACAAUAAAAUGGACCCAACAAAACAGUGUAAGGAUAUGCAACCUAUAAGUGGAAGAUAAAAAGCUAGCAAAAGAAAUCAACAUGAAGUGCAAGCCAAGCACCCAGAAUAACAGUCCACCAAUCCUAUUUAGACCAUCAUGUAGAUUUUGUUUAUAUUUUUUUCAUUAAUUUGAAUGUAUAUCCCUAAGGCGUGGGUGGAUGGAUUAGCGGUAGUUUCCCUCUAUCUUUCACCGGUGAGAAGAGGGAAGGGAAAAAUAUACCCAGACACUUAUGUUUUUACAAAACACAGUGCAAUAAAGUUUCUCAACCUGUGGUUUGCAAUU